UAAGGAAUAUUGGACAAUGGACGAAAGUCUGAUCCAGCCAUGCCGCGUGCAGGAUGACAGCCCUACGGGUUGUAAACUGCUUUUAUACAGGAAGAAACACUCCGACGUGUCGGAGCUUGACGGUACUGUAAGAAUAAGGAUCGGCUAACUCCGUGCCAGCAGCCGCGGUAAUACGGAGGAUCCAAGCGUUAUCCGGAACCAUUGGGUUUAAAGGGUCCGCAGGCUGUUUUUUAAGUCAGAGGUGAAAUCCUACAGCUCAACUGUAGAACUGCCUUUGAUACUGGAAAACUUGAGUUAUAGUGAAGUGGUUAGAAUGUGUGGUGUAGCGGUGAAAUGCAUAGAUAUCACACAGAAUACCGAUUGCGAAGGCAGAUCACUAACAAUAUACUGACGCUCAUGGACGAAAGCGUGGGGAGCGAACAGGAUUAGAUACCCUGGUAGUCCACGCCGUAAACGAUGGAUACUAGCUGUUCGUCUAACAUUGGUUAGAUGAGUGGCUAAGCGAAAGUGAUAAGUAUCCCACCUGGGGAGUACGGUCGCAAGACUG
RNAcentral lists this ribosomal RNA (547 nucleotides) under uncultured marine bacterium. RNAcentral's name for it is "bacterial SSU rRNA". It matches the Rfam family "Bacterial small subunit ribosomal RNA", at positions 355 to 896 of the family's 1533-position model. The record is from RNAcentral.